UACGGAGGAUGCGAGCGUUAUCCGGAUUUAUUGGGUUUAAAGGGUGCGUAGGCGGACGCUUAAGUCAGCGGUAAAAUUGCGGGGCUCAACCUCGUCGAGCCGUUGAAACUGGGUGCCUUGAGUGGGCGAGAAGUACGCGGAAUGCGUGGUGUAGCGGUGAAGUGCAUAGAUAUCACGCAGAACUCCGAUUGCGAAGGCAGCGUACCGGCGCCCAACUGACGCUGAAGCACGAAGGCGUGGGUAUCGAACAGG
RNAcentral lists this ribosomal RNA (252 nucleotides) under uncultured bacterium. Its description in RNAcentral is "partial 16S ribosomal RNA". It matches the Rfam family "Bacterial small subunit ribosomal RNA", at positions 524 to 776 of the family's 1533-position model. The record is from RNAcentral.